GAGUACAUUUGAUUUUAAAAUUACUCUACCCUUUAAUUUUAUCAAAAUAUCUAUUCAUAUCUAUCCAUAUUCUUUUAUAAAAUCACUAAUUCCUAAACCUAAAUUCCCAAAGUGAAUCAGAAACCCUAAUUCCCAAAUUGGAAACCCUAAUUCUUCCCAAACCUAGCCGCCGAAACCCUACUCCAAUUGCGCUCUUCUCAAACCCAGCAGCCGUGAUACCAACCUUUCCCUUUCUCAAAUCAGUCGCAACAGUAAAGGGGGAAGGGAUGCAAAAGAAAAACGGACCGAGAGAGAGGAGGCGGAGCUACGAUCAGAAGUGGAGGUGAGCCACGCUGCUGCCUCCGUUCAGCCCACCGCCACUGCGCCGUCUUUGUCGCAGCCACUCCCGCCAGAACUCAUGCCGCCGAUUUGUCGCUCGAGGAGCCGCCAUUUUUGCUCGUCGUUUCCCCCCAGAGUCGUCGCCGUCGAGGGCCAGCAGAGGAAGAGAGAACGACCGCGAGCCAGGUUCACCAGCGAGGAGAGGGACUGUGGCACGUCACCGUUGCGACUCAUUUCACGACCAUCACGGCGAGGGCUCUGUUGCCAUCGUCCCAACGUCGCCGUUCGUGCCCCUUUGUCGCCGUCGCUGUUCUGCCCGGCGUCGCCAGUGUUGAGGUCAGCCACUCCACUACCACCGUCGAGCCUUGUUGGAACUGGUGUUGCUUCUGGAGGUUUGGAAGGGAGGCUUGCUCGGAUCUGCUUCUGGUCUGGUUCUCGCAGUUGUGGGAGUCUCUGCUACCAUCAGAGCUGCCAUUGAAGUUAUUGAUUUGGUUCCAAUUCCUCCAUUUUUGAGACCUGCUGCUACUCUAUUUUCCCUGUUUACUGCUAGAACUAUCAUAGGGGAUACUGUUGAUGCCAUCAGGAAACUGUUAGAGCUGCUGUUGUUGCUGAUGCAAGUUAGAACGAAAUUGGAGUCACGUUUAAUUUUGUGGGUUUCGACUAACUGAGUGAUACAGGUUCGAAGAUUCAGUUUGAAGCUACGGGCGAUUCUAGAAUUCAUUUAUGAGUUAAGUUUAUGACUUGAGUUUCUUUCAUAGAAUUCCCUCGCCUUUGUAGCUUUAGUUUUUAUUUUAUGCAGAGGGAUAGAAG
This is a non-coding RNA of Arachis ipaensis, 1128 nucleotides long. NCBI's taxonomy places the organism in Eukaryota, Viridiplantae, Streptophyta, Magnoliopsida, Fabales, Fabaceae. The record is from RefSeq and is a predicted model, not a curated record.